CGUAGGGUGCGAGCGUUAAUCGGAAUUACUGGGCGUAAAGCGUGCGCAGGCGGUUUUGUAAGCCAGAUGUGAAAUCCCCGGGCUUAACUGGGAAUGGCAUUUGGGACUGCAAGGCUUGAGUGCGGCAGAGGAGACUGGGAAUUCCUGGUGUAGCAGUGAAAUGCGUAGAUAUCAGGAGGAAUACCGAUGGCGAAGGCAGGUCUCUGGGCUGACACUGACGCUCAUGCACGAAAGCGUGGGGGAGCAAACAGGAUUAGAUACCCUGGUAGUCCACGCCCUAAACGAUGUCGACUGGUUGUUGGGGGUUUGACACUCUCAGUAACGAAGCUAACGCGUGAAGUCGACCGCCUGGGGAGUACGGCCGCAAGGUUA
RNAcentral lists this ribosomal RNA (372 nucleotides) under uncultured organism. Its description in RNAcentral is "bacterial SSU rRNA". It matches the Rfam family "Bacterial small subunit ribosomal RNA", at positions 526 to 896 of the family's 1533-position model. The record is from RNAcentral.